CUCACUGAACGAUGAAUGCA
This 20-nucleotide microRNA is filed under the name Gadus morhua (Atlantic cod). RNAcentral describes it as "gmo-miR-181b-3p". Its record names the gene gmo-miR-181b-3p. RNAcentral also lists the same sequence under 1 other name. Lineage: Eukaryota; Metazoa; Chordata; Actinopteri; Gadiformes; Gadidae. The record is from miRBase by way of RNAcentral.